This 637-nucleotide ribosomal RNA is filed under the name uncultured bacterium. RNAcentral's name for it is "bacterial SSU rRNA". It matches the Rfam family "Bacterial small subunit ribosomal RNA", at positions 607 to 1244 of the family's 1533-position model. The record is from RNAcentral.
GCUUAACCGGAGAAGUGCAUCGGAAACUGGGAGACUUGAGUGCAGAAGAGGACAGUGGAACUCCAUGUGUAGCGGUGGAAUGCGUAGAUAUAUGGAAGAACACCAGUGGCGAAGGCGGCUGUCUAGUCUGUAACUGACGCUGAGGCUCGAAAGCAUGGGUAGCAAACAGGAUUAGAUACCCUGGUAGUCCAUGCCGUAAACGAAGAGUGCUAGGUGUUGGAGGGUUUCCGCCCUUCAGUGCCGCAGCUAACGCAUUAAGCACUCCGCCUGGGGAGUACGACCGCAAGGUUGAAACUCAAAGGAAUUGACGGGGGCCCGCACAAGCGGUGGAGCAUGUGGUUUAAUUCGAAGCUACGCGAAGAACCUUACCAGGUCUUGACAUCUUCUGCCAAUCUUAGAGAUAAGACGUUCCCUUCGGGGACAGAAUGACAGGUGGUGCAUGGUUGUCGUCAGCUCGUGUCGUGAGAUGUUGGGUUAAGUCCCGCAACGAGCGCAACCCUUAUUAUCAGUUGCCAGCAUUAAGUUGGGCACUCUGGUGAGACUGCCGGUGACAAACCGGAGGAAGGUGGGGAUGACGUCAAAUCAUCAUGCCCCUUAUGACCUGGGCUACACACGUGCUACAAUGGACGGUACAACG